Molecule: RNA transcript, 2064 nt
Organism: Prunus persica (peach)
Lineage: Eukaryota; Viridiplantae; Streptophyta; Magnoliopsida; Rosales; Rosaceae
Exons: 5
Source: RefSeq, a predicted model, not a curated record
AAGUGUCGGUGAAGGUUUUGAGGAGAGAAGAAAACAUCAGAUUCCCAUCAUUUGCGGUGGUGUUUAUCCGACGAAGAUAUAGCGCCACAAUAAUGAAAAUCUGAAAAUCAAAAUAUUUAUAUAAAGCACAGCACUUUCUCGGUGAUUCCCCUAGAACCCCUCGUGUCCAUUCCCUUCUCUCUCCCUCUCUCUCCCCUUCACUCUGACUCUCUUUAAUUAGCACUUGAGCCUCCGUAUUUGACGCUAGCUUCGCUGGAAGCUCUUUCUCCGCAUCGGAUCUGGGGUUUCUUCGCGUUCUUUUGAAGGAAAGGGGAAAAAAAAGAAGGGAGGUUGUUGUUUAAACUUUAAAGGUUGAUUGUUCUUUGGGAAAGCGCAUGAGCCGUGUCGAACAAGUUAAAUUGCAUUCAAUUAAGCUGUCUUCCAUUUGAUUGCAAGUUAAAUUGGAAAGUGUUGUUUGCUUGAUGAAGCUAGAUAUCAAGUUUCACCUGUAAAACUAGUAUAUAUAUGUUGCAAAGAGGUAAUUCCUUAUAAUGGGUUGACUCCAAAGUUUCAAAUUUGGCUGUUUCCUUUUGAGGGGUGAAAAAUAUCGUGGCUUUGAUCAUUUGGAGUUUGGGGAGCAGGUUAACAAUUACGUUGGGUUAAUUGGUUGUAAUGGAUCGUAAGAGUCCGAGGGAAAAAGACUCUGAAGUUGAUCUUGAAAGUGGGGUGGUAGUUAGUGAAGAAGAUUCAAGCGACAGCCCUGUUUCGAGUGCUAAGAAGCAGGCAAAGACAUUAAUUUCUAAGGUUUGUGGUGGACUUUUGGAUGGAUCAGUUAAGGUUGAAGAGAGGGUCAGUUUGUGUGGCAAUGGGUCCAAUUCCAAUGGAGUCUCCCCCGAGAAUUUGAAAGUGGCAACAAACAAGAUGUUGCAAGGAAAUGAAGGUACAGAUCACGUAGAGAAGACACGGGUGAAGGAUAAGCGUAAGAAGAUGACCAAUAAAAAACCUCCUAAACCUCCCAGACCUCCAAGAGGUCCAUCAUUGGAUGCAGCAGACCAGAAGUUGAUCAAGGAACUCUCUGAGAUUGCCAUGUGGAAACGUGCAAGGAUUGAUCGGAUGAAAGCCUUGAAGAAAAUGAAAGCUGCUAAGGCAUCAUCUUCCAAUAGCAGCAUAUUUGCCAUGGUGUUCACCAUUCUUUUCUGUCUUGUACUAAUCUUUCAAGGAAUUUCUUCUAGAAGAAGCUCACCUGUAAGCUUCGAGGGAUCUCCUGUGUCUGGAGGAGGAAUGGAGGGCAGUUUGAUAUCCGUUCAGUACUACCCAAAUCUGUCAUCAACUGCCCCAAAUGGGCCUGGUUCUGAGUCCCCCAAUAUCGUAGAGCAGGUUGCUGGUUCAGAUCCGCGGGAGAAGCUGAAAAGAUGGGCAGGAUGAUGUUGCAAUUUUGUUGCCUAGUCUAUCUGGAAGAACAAAUUUCCAUAUGCUUUUGAAUCCUCAUGCAAGCCAUUGAUACUUCCACUUUUUUGUUUGAAUGGUCUACUGAAGCUGAUUUAUCCCCUGUAUGUACAGAGACAGAGAGAGAGACAGAGAGAGAGACAGAGAGAGACAGAGAGAGGUUACGUACGAUACAAUUUUUAGUAGUGUUCUGCAGGUGAUGUCAAGUGCAUACUGAUGAGUUGCCUUCUUUGCAACCUGUCCAAAUAAAAUUAUGGGUUUAUUAUGAUGGGGUUUCUAAAUAUAGUUUGGAUGAUGCAACGGUUUCUUUCGCAAGAUGCAAAGAUUUCCUUUAUGGCUGGAAAUGCAAUGAAUGUAGGUAUGUUUUCCCAAUGAGCGCGAGGGGUUGAUAAUUUUGAUCUCCUGUUGUUUUGCUAGAAAGUCUAGAACUCUUGUUAUGUAAUGUGUAUUGGUUUUAGCCACAAAUGGUUUUGAAGAAAAGGGAAAAGACUUUUCCAAACUUGGCAAUAGGGAUCCAUUGAUUUCUCUUUACUGGUUGUGUGGGACCAUUUAAGGCAAUCCCAAAUGUUGUGUGCGCCUUGGUUCCCUCUUCCUUUUUCUGUUUAUCGAAGUCCUGUGAACCAGGUUGUUCUUUUGACA